This is a long non-coding RNA of Rhagoletis zephyria (snowberry fruit fly), 337 nucleotides long. RefSeq lists it as uncharacterized. The record is from RefSeq and is a predicted model, not a curated record. NCBI's taxonomy places the organism in Eukaryota, Metazoa, Arthropoda, Insecta, Diptera, Tephritidae.
UAUUUUUAAGCCAUUAACUUUGUUUCUCAUCAAUUUAGGAAAACUACUCACAGCCAGUGCUGGUAGUGAUCAACCAAUUGGUGAUUACUAUGGUCCACUUGUGGUUGUUUCGGUAGUUGCUGCUUUGGCAAUCAUGUCCACAAUUGUGCUGUUACUCAUUCUAACCAGAAGACGUGUACAUCAAACGGCGUCGAUAACGCCACCACGCAAAAAUGAUGCCGCCUAUGACAAUCCCUCGUACAAGGUGGAAAUACAACAGGAGACAAUGAAUCUGUAGCAUUUCUAAGCUACCGAGGCGUGCGUGACGGGAUGCAAUGCCUCAACAGGCCUGGAAGCC